UAACUUAGGGAGGUUGUGACGAAAAAUAACGACGCGGGACUCUGUAGAGGCCUCGUGAUUGGAAUGAGUACACUUCAAAUCCGUUAACGAGGACCGACCGGAGGGCAAGCAGCCCUGGUAAUUCCAGCUCCGGUAGCGUAUAUUAAAUUGUUGCGGUUAAAAAUCUCGUGUUGGUGGUCGCGUUCGCGGCUUCGGAGCGGCAGCGCCAUCGUUCGUCGUUGACUUUGCUCGUCCGUGCUCAUUCCUGGCCCUUUUCGCCAACCUCUUGCACAUGUGCCACGCUGUCCUACCGUCGAAGUUACGCGAGGGAGUAGUAGGUGACCGCUGGGUUGUUGCGGAUGUACAGGGGACCCGCAAGUGUCGUCGUCUGCGGCGUCAGGUCAUUUUUCGGCGCGCGAUCUAAUUCAUGCGGCGGCGCGGCAUUCCUGUCAGCGACCAGCGGCCUUCACUCGUCGUCUGCGUCACCGUCGUCUCCUAAAAGAACGUCGCGUCGUCGUCGCUCCGUCUCGCCAUCGUGGUCUUCCCUACCGCCGAUUGGUAACCUCCCCUCCAGUUUCCUGCGUCCCUACUCUACCUACCUCCGCGUCUAUCGUCCGUUUUGAGCUCGUGCGCGGUCGGCGGUUUCUCCUUAAUGUGUACUCUUGAUCGGGUGUCCGCAGCGGCAGGUACGUUCACUUUGAAAAAAAAUAGAGUGCUCAGGGCGGGCUUUUCAAGUUUGCAUACGAUAAGCAUGGAAUGAUG
This is a non-coding RNA of Acanthosepion pharaonis, 741 nucleotides long. Lineage: Eukaryota; Metazoa; Mollusca; Cephalopoda; Sepiida; Sepiidae. The record is from the annotation of a GenBank genome assembly.